RNAcentral lists this ribosomal RNA (501 nucleotides) under Ocellularia ascidioidea. Its description in RNAcentral is "eukaryotic LSU rRNA". It matches the Rfam family "Eukaryotic large subunit ribosomal RNA", at positions 149 to 665 of the family's 3401-position model. The record is from RNAcentral. Lineage: Eukaryota; Fungi; Ascomycota; Lecanoromycetes; Ostropales; Graphidaceae.
UUUGUAGAAGGUGCUUCGGAUGCAGUCCGGGUCCAAGUCCCUUGGAACAGGGUGUCGCAGAGGGUGAGAAUCCCGUAUGUGGCCAAGGACUAAAUCCAUGUGAAGCCCUUUCGACGAGUCGAGUUGUUUGGGAAUGCAGCUCUAAAUGGGUGGUAAAUUUCAUCUAAAGCUAAAUAUCUGCCAGAGACCGAUAGCGCACAAGUAGAGUGAUCGAAAGAUGAAAAGCACUUUGAAAAGAGAGUCAAAAAGUACGUGAAAUUGUUGAAAGGGAAGCGCUUGCAACCAGACUCGUUUGCGGGUGUUCAGCCUCUCUCCGGAGUGGUGCACUCUCCCGCCUCGGGCCAGCAUUAGUUUCGGCGGUUGGAUAAAGACUUUGGGAACGUAGCUUUACUUCGGUGAAGUGUUAUAGCUCAGAGUGUAAUGCGGCCAGCCGGGACUGAGGAACGCGCAUUGCUAGGAUGCUGGCGUAAUGGUUGCCAGCGACCCGUCUUGAAACACGAA